Molecule: ribosomal RNA, 1070 nt
Filed under: uncultured Verrucomicrobiota bacterium
Lineage: Bacteria; Pseudomonadati; Verrucomicrobiota
Description: bacterial SSU rRNA
Rfam family: Bacterial small subunit ribosomal RNA
Source: RNAcentral
GAGGCAGCAGUCGAGAAUUUUUCUCAAUGGGGGAAACCCUGAAGGAGCGACGCCGCGUGGAGGAUGAAGGUCUUCGGAUUGUAAACUCCUGUCAUUAGAGAACAAGUGCCGGCAUUUAACUGGUGCCGGCUUGAUAGUAUCUGAAGAGGAAGAGACGGCUAACUCUGUGCCAGCAGCCGCGGUAAUACAGAGGUCUCAAGCGUUGUUCGGAUUCAUUGGGCGUAAAGGGUGCGUAGGCUGCGCUGUAAGUCAGGUGUGAAAUCCCGGGGCUCAACCCCGGAACUGCACUUGAUACUGCGGUGCUCGAGGACUGGAGAGGAGACUGGAAUUCCCGGUGUAGCAGUGAAAUGCGUAGAUAUCGGGAGGAAGGCCAGUGGCGAAGGCGGGUCUCUGGACAGUUCCUGACGCUGAGGCACGAAGGCCAGGGGAGCAAACGGGAUUAGAUACCCCGGUAGUCCUGGCAGUAAACGGUGCACGUUUGGUGUGGGAGGAAUCGACCCCUUCCGUGCCGGAGCUAACGCGUUAAACGUGCCGCCUGGGGAGUACGGUCGCAAGAUUAAAACUCAAAGAAAUUGACGGGGGCCCGCACAAGCGGUGGAGUAUGUGGCUUAAUUCGAUGCAACGCGAAGAACCUUACCAGGCCUUGACAUGCUGGGAUUAACUGGGUGAAAGCCCGGUGAUUGCCCGAAAGGGUGUAACCAGCACAGGUGCUGCAUGGCUGUCGUCAGCUCGUGUCGUGAGAUGUUGGGUUAAGUCCCGCAACGAGCGCAACCCCUGUGAACUGUUGCCACCGGUCCGAGAGGACCGAGCACUCUGUUCAGACUGCCCCUUCAAAGGGGGAGGAAGGUGGGGACGACGUCAAGUCAGGAUGGCCCUUACGGCCUGGGCUGCACACGUACUACAAUGCCCGGCACAGAAUGAUCCAAAACCGCGAGGUGGAGGAAAUCUCUAAAACCGGGCCCAGUUCGGAUUGGUGGCUGCAACUCGCCUCCAUGAAGCCGGAAUCGCUAGUAAUGGCGCAUCAGCUACGGCGCCGUGAAUACGUUCCCGGGCCUUGUACACACCGCCAU